Molecule: small RNA, 2490 nt
Filed under: Pongo abelii (Sumatran orangutan)
Lineage: Eukaryota; Metazoa; Chordata; Mammalia; Primates; Hominidae
Description: retained intron
Source: RNAcentral
AGUCCCUUUUUCUUGAGAGAGUCUGGCUCUGUCACCAAGGCUGGAGGGCAGCGGCACAAUCUCGGCUCACUGCAACCUCUCUACAUUGCAUGUCUCAGCCUCCCGAGCAGGUGGGACCACAGGAGUGUGCCACCACACCCAGCUAAGUUUUGUAUUUUUUAGUAGAGAUGGGGUAUCACCAUGUUGGCCAGGCUGGUCUCAAACUCUCGGCCUCAGCCUCCCAAAGUGCUGGGAUUAUAGGUGUGAGCCACCACACCCAGCCUCUAUGUCCCUUUUAUCUGUGGACCCAACAAUCUUCUGCAGACAGAAGACUGUGUGAAUAAGCCAAUGCUUCCAAGAGAGCAUGCAUCCUAAUGAGAACGGAGACAGAUAAUAAAGAGGGAAACAAGUAAACCAACUAAUCAACGAUUAGGAGUGUCAGAUAGAGCCAGGUGCAGCCUGGACAACAUGAUGAGAUCCCCAUUUCUAAAAACAUAAAAUAAAUUAGCUGGGCAUGAUGGUGCACACCUGUAGCCCCAGCUUCUCAGGAGGCUGAGGUGGGAGGAUUGCUUAAGCCCGGGAGGUGAAGCCUACAGUGAGCCAUGAUCUCACCAUGCACUCCAGCCUAGACAACAGGGCAAGGCCCUCUAAAAAAAAAAAAAAAAAUUAAAAAGAUAGCAUGCUUUGGCCGGAUGUGGUGGCUCACGCCUGUAAUCCCAGCACUUUGGGAGGUCGAGGCGGGUGGAUCACCUGAGGUCAGGAGUACGAGAUCAGCCUGGCCAACACGGUGAAACCCCAUCUCUACUAAACAUACAAAAUUAACCGGGGUGUGGUGGCGCAUGCCUGUAAUCCCAGCUACUCUGGAGGCUGAGGCAGGAGAAUCGCUUGAACCCAGGAGGCAGAUGUUGUGGUGAGCUGAGAUUGCGCCAUUGCGCUCCAGCCUGGGCAACAAGAGCGAAGCUCCGUCUCAAAAAAGGAUAGCAUGCUUCAUAAGCGGUGAAAUGACAUGCAAAGGCCAUAGUUGUCAAGCACCAGUAACACCAGAGAGCUGCCUGUCUUUCCUUCAAGCAGACCAGAGAGGACCGUUCUGCUGGACGCCUACAGUGAACAUCUGGCAGCGGCCCUGUGCACCAAUCCAAACCUGAUAGAGCUGUCUCUGUACCGAAAUGCCCUGGGCAGCCGGGGGGUGAAGCUGCUCUGUCAAGGACUCAGACACCCCAACUGCAAACUUCAGAACCUGAGCACUUCAGGAGGCCAAGGCGGUUGGAUCACCUGAGGUCAGGAGUUCAAGACCAGCCUGGCCAACAUGGUGAAACCCCGUCUCUACUAAAAAUACAAAAAUUAGCCAGGCAUGGUGGCACACGUCUGUAAUCCCAGCUACUAAGGAGGCCAAGGCAGGCGAAUUGCUUCAACCCAGGAGGCAGAGGUUGUGGCUGAAGAAGUGCCGCAUCUCCAGCUCAGCCUGCGAGGACCUCUCUGCAGCUCUCAUAGCCAAUAAGAAUUUAACAAGGAUGGAUCUCAGUGGCAACGGUGUUGGAUUCCCAGGCAUGACGCUGCUGUGCGAGGGCCUGCGGCAUCCCCGAUGCAGGCUGCAGAUGAUUCAGUUGAGGAAGUGUCAGCUGGAGUCCGGGGCUUGUCAGGAAAUGGCUUCUGUGCUCAGCACCAACCCACAUCUGGUUGAGUUGGACCUGACAGGAAAUGCACUGGAGGAUUUGGGCCUGAGGUUACUGUGCCAGGGACUGAGGCACCCAGUCUGCAGACUACGGACUUUGUGGCUGAAGAUCUGCCACCUCACUGCUGCUGCCUGUGAAGAGCUGGCCUCAACUCUCAGUGUGAACCAGAGCCUGAGAGAGCUGGACCUGAGCCUAAAUGAGCUGGGGGACCUCGGGGUGCUGCUGCUGUGUGAGGGCCUCAGGCAUCCCACGUGCAAGCUCCAGACCCUCCGGCUGGAUAGCUGUGGACUCACAGCCAAGGCUUGUAAGAAUCUUUACUUCACCCUGGGGAUCAACCAGACCUUGACCGACCUUUAUCUGACCAACAACGCCCUAGGGGACACAGGUGUCCGACUGCUUUGCAAGCGGCUGAGCCAUCCUGGCUGCAAACUCCGAGUCCUCUGGUUAUUUGGGAUGGACCUGAAUAAAAUGACCCACAGUAGGUUGGCAGCGCUUCGAGUAACAAAACCUUAUUUGGACAUUGGCUGCUGAAUGGUCCUAUCUGCUGGCUCUCCCCUGAGAUCUGGACAGAGGAAGAUGGGAGGGUGCUCAUCACCCCUACAGCAUAAUGAUCAUGCUCCUUCCUAGAGACAAACUCAUGCAGAUUGAGAUCAGAAGUCCCUCUGCUUGGGAUCAAAUUAAUGUUUGACAGAGCUGGCCAGGCGUGGUGGCUCAUGUCUGUAAUCCCAGCACUUCGAGAGGCCCAGGCAGGUGGAUCACGAGGUCAGGAGUUUGAGAUCAGCCUGGCCAAGAUGGUGAAACCCUGUCUCUACUAAAAAUAAAAAAAAAAUUAGCCGGG